Notechis scutatus (mainland tiger snake) is the source of this 540-nucleotide non-coding RNA. The record is from RefSeq and is a predicted model, not a curated record. Lineage: Eukaryota; Metazoa; Chordata; Lepidosauria; Squamata; Elapidae.
GGUCAUCCAAGGGUAAUCUAGGGUCAUUCCUAGUAGCUCCCAUUCAAAUAUGGGAAGUAUGCUACCAAAGAGCCAGAUUUGGUGGUGAAAGCAGCUGUUUUGUCAGCAGGAGAAAAAAAAUCACCCUGCUGCUCAGCAUGCCAUCUUUGGAGGACCUCAAAGUUAGAUUGUGACUGGGCAGAUCUAAGUGAGUUGCCUGGAGUACAGACUCAUGAGAUCUUGAGUGAGUUAGAUUCUGUGAAUCUCAAGGAUGUGGACACGAUCCUCCAAUCUAUCAGUCUGGCCAUCAGUCUAUUACAUCCCAGGCCCUUUGGGGUUAGUAAGGUAGCCCAGGAGUGACCAGGGGAUGAUGAAAUAAUGGAGGAACUAUUGGCAAAAGCUUUGGGAAUAGGAAAGGACGAAAUGCUGAUCAAAAUGGAUGAAGUUUAUAGAAUACAGACUAAUUAUGCAAGACCCCACAACCUACCGAAAGAAAUUCAUGUAAGAUUCGUCAAAAAAUCAGAGAUGAGAUCCUCCAUAGAACAAGAGAUGACAGAGGGA